UAUAUUGGACUACAAAAGUUUUAAUCCUGAAACCCAAUUCAAACCCCAAUUUCUUGUAUUUCUUGCACUUUCAAUUGGCAUCAGAGCCCCAGUUCUAAGUUUUUACUACUUUGUAUCAAACACUUAAUUAUGUCAGAUAAAUAUUUACUCUUUUUGAAAUAUAUUAUGGCACAAGCAAACAAUGAUAAAAUUCGUUAUUAUGCUAAACCUCCAAUCUUUGAUGGAGAAAAGUUUGACUAUUGGAAAGAUUGAAUCGAAAGUUUAUUUAUAGGUUGUGAUAUUGACCUAUGGGAUAUGGUGUUAGACAGUUACACACAUCUUAUAGAUGUAAAUAACAUUAAGCUUGAAAGAAGCAAAAUGGAUGGUCAGUAAAAGAAGGAUCACAAGAAAUAUCGUAGAUCCUGAAAUGGGAAAUGGGACCACCAAAACAAUCGUUUCCUCACACUUAACCCUAAUUUAUCCUUAAUUUCAACAGAUUCCAAACCUAAAACCCUAUCCUAAUUAAAUAACUUCAAGAACCCUAAAUGCUAAAAACGUGAAUUAAACAAUGCUCAGGAGCCAAACGAAGAUCAAACCAUGGGGAUUUGGCUCCCCGGGAGAGGCACUGCAUUGUGAUGUUCUUAUAUUGGAGAAAAAAGAGUGGAAAAGAAUUACCUACCGGAGCAACUCCGGUGGUUUUUUGCCGGCGAAAUAAAAGUUCAGGUGGAAAGAAACAUUAAUGAAAAGCCAAUGGAAUGCACUAUGUAAUAAAAAUUCAACUACUGAGCCAUUUAAGAUCUAACAACCAUGGCAUGUAAUUGUGAUGUAGUAGGACUGUUCAAUUGUAGUGAAAAUCUUUUGUACUCAACAUUUCUUAUCAAUUCAAAAUAUGGUGAGUGCAAGACUUGUUUGGGCUUGAGA
Long non-coding RNA from Lathyrus oleraceus (garden pea), 900 nucleotides. RefSeq lists it as uncharacterized. Lineage: Eukaryota; Viridiplantae; Streptophyta; Magnoliopsida; Fabales; Fabaceae. The transcript is spliced from 2 exons. The record is from RefSeq and is a predicted model, not a curated record.